This 293-nucleotide ribosomal RNA is filed under the name uncultured bacterium. RNAcentral describes it as "partial 16S ribosomal RNA". It matches the Rfam family "Bacterial small subunit ribosomal RNA", at positions 28 to 319 of the family's 1533-position model. The record is from RNAcentral.
GAUGAACGCUAGCGGCAGGCUUAAUACAUGCAAGUCGAGGGGCAGCACGGUUAGCAAUAACUGGUGGCGACCGGCGCACGGGUGCGUAACACGUAUACAAUCUACCUUAAACAGGGGGAUAGCCUUUCGAAAGAGAGAUUAAUACCCGUAAUAAAUUGAACGGCAUCGUUUGAUUUUGUAAAGCUCCGGCGGUUUGAGAUGAGUAUGCGUCUGAUUAGCUAGUUGGUGAGGUAACGGCUCACCAAGGCGACGAUCAGUAGGGGAUCUGAGAGGACUAACCCCCACACUGGUAC